AGAAUUUGAUCUUGGUCAGGAUGAACGCUAGCUACAGGCUUAACACAUGCAAGUCGAGGGGCAGCAGGACGAUAGCUUGCUAUUGUUGCUGGCGACCGGCGCACGGGUGAGUAACGCGUAUCCAACCUUCCCCUUAGUAGGGCAUAGCCCGGUGAAAAUCGGAUUAAUACCCUAUGUUGUGUCAUGAGGACAUCUGAAUAACACUAAAGAUUUUAUCGCUAAGGGAUGGGGAUGCGUCCGAUUAGGUAGUCGGCGGGGUAACGGCCCACCGAGCCCUCGAUCGGUAGGGGUUCUGAGAGGAAGGUCCCCCACACUGGUACUGAGACACGGACCAGACUCCUACGGGAGGCAGCAGUGAGGAAUAUUGGUCAAUGGGCGCGAGCCUGAACCAGCCAAAGUAGCGUGCAGGAUGACGGCCCUAUGGGUUGUAAACUGCUUUUAUACGGGGAUAAAGUGAGGGACGUGUCCCUUAUUGUAGGUACCGUAUGAAUAAGGACCGGCUAAUUCCGUGCCAGCCGCCGC
This 522-nucleotide ribosomal RNA is filed under the name uncultured bacterium. RNAcentral describes it as "bacterial SSU rRNA". It matches the Rfam family "Bacterial small subunit ribosomal RNA", at positions 8 to 518 of the family's 1533-position model. The record is from RNAcentral.